RNAcentral lists this unclassified non-coding RNA (314 nucleotides) under plant metagenome. RNAcentral's name for it is "partial contains 5.8S ribosomal RNA, internal transcribed spacer 2, and large subunit ribosomal RNA". The stretch from base 1 to 105 matches the Rfam family "5.8S ribosomal RNA", at positions 50 to 154 of the family's 154-position model. The record is from RNAcentral.
GAAAUGCGAUAAUUAAUGUGAAUUGCAGAAUUCAGUGAAUCAUCGAGUCUUUGAACGCACAUUGCGCCCCCUGGUAUUCCGGGGGGCAUGCCUGUCCGAGCGUCAUUGCUGCCCUCAAGCACGGCUUGUGUGUUGGGCUUCCGUCCCUGGCAACGGGGACGGGCCCAAAAGGCAGUGGCGGCACCAUGUCUGGUCCUCGAGCGUAUGGGGGUUUGUCACCCGCUCCCGUAGGUCCAGCUGGCAGCUAGCCUCGCAACCAAUCUUUUUAACCAGGUUGACCUCGGAUCAGGUAGGGAUACCCGCUGAACUUAAGC